RNAcentral lists this ribosomal RNA (475 nucleotides) under uncultured Polaromonas sp. Its description in RNAcentral is "bacterial SSU rRNA". It matches the Rfam family "Bacterial small subunit ribosomal RNA", at positions 906 to 1382 of the family's 1533-position model. Lineage: Bacteria; Pseudomonadati; Pseudomonadota; Betaproteobacteria; Burkholderiales; Comamonadaceae. The record is from RNAcentral.
GGAAUUGACGGGACCCGCACAAGCGGUGGAUGAUGUGGAUUAAUUCGAUGCAACGCGAAGAACCUUACCUACCCUUGACAUGUCCGGAACUUGCCAGAGAUGGCUUGGUGCCCGAAAGGGAAUCGGAACACAGGUGCUGCAUGGCUGUCGUCAGCUCGUGUCGUGAGAUGUUGGGUUAAGUCCCGCAACGAGCGCAACCCUUGUCAUUAGUUGCUACAUUCAGUUGGGCACUCUAAUGAGACUGCCGGUGACAAACCGGAGGAAGGUGGGGAUGACGUCAAGUCCUCAUGGCCCUUAUAGGUGGGGCUACACACGUCAUACAAUGGAUGGUACAAAGGGUCGCCAACCCGCGAGGGGGAGCCAAUCCCAUAAAGCCAUUCGUAGUCCGGAUCGCAGUCUGCAACUCGACUGCGUGAAGUCGGAAUCGCUAGUAAUCGUGGAUCAGAAUGUCACGGUGAAUACGUUCCCGGGUCUU